RNAcentral lists this unclassified non-coding RNA (28 nucleotides) under Mus musculus (house mouse). RNAcentral's name for it is "piRNA piR-mmu-68261598". Lineage: Eukaryota; Metazoa; Chordata; Mammalia; Rodentia; Muridae. The record is from RNAcentral.
UCAGCACCUAACCAGAUGAUCAUGUGGU